CCCUAUGGGGUGCACCAGGCGGAUGGAUUUUCAUUGUGGAGCCGGAAAUCGGAUUCGUAGAGAAUAUCCUGGUCCCGGAUAUUGCCGGUUGGAAGAGGGAAAGAUUCCCUAAAGCGGAAGCCCAUAACUGGAUUUCGGUUGCUCCGGAUUGGAUCUGCGAGGUCCUUUCUCCACAUACCGCUCGUUAUGACCGAAUCGGAAAAAUGCGCAUCUACAUCCGGCACAGGGUACCCUACGUCUGGCUGGUCGAUCCCAUCCUUAUGACCCUGGAAGCUUACAGCAUCGAACCUGACGGCAGACUUAUCCUGAACUCUUUUGUGGGGAAUGAAAAAGCACGCGUGGAGCCGUUUUCGGAGCUGGAGCUCGAUCUCGGCCUCUUUUGGCUGGAGGAAUGAAUUGGCGGGGGGGC
This 409-nucleotide ribosomal RNA is filed under the name uncultured prokaryote. RNAcentral describes it as "partial 16S ribosomal RNA". The record is from RNAcentral.